GGGGAAAGGGCAUCACAGAGUAGACAUGGCGUUUAGGUCAGUGUAUUGCUACAAAUUACGAAAGUGUGCCUCUUUUUCUGUCUGAAUUUCCAAAACUUUAUUUCAUCCUCUUCCCUUUCCCAGGUAAAGGAGAGCGCAUAAGGCUGCUCUUCAACUACCAAUAAUAUGUUGUGCUUGUGGAAUAUGUUUCUAGGUGGAAAUUCUGAGGAUUUCUACUGUUCCACUGUCUCAAAGUUUGUAGACAAACAGACUUCCAAUCUCCUCAGUGUGUUGAAGAAGAAAGGAGGCUCUGCAGGAAGGGAACUUCGCAUACUUUUGGCCCACAGAGGAGGGAGAUCAUCCUCAGGGCAAUUGGUUUCUACCUGAUGAAGACCCAAACAUCCUCUUCAAAGAAAACCCGGAUCUGAUGCUAUAGCUGUUCCGAGGGAGCUUGGACAAGUUAUCUGUACAGCAUCCGUGUUGAGGGAGGUGAUGCUACCACUCCUCCAGCUGAUGUUGGGAUUUUCAACACUUUAUAGUGCUAAUAAUUUUACUGUA
Molecule: long non-coding RNA, 537 nt
Organism: Micropterus dolomieu (smallmouth bass)
Lineage: Eukaryota; Metazoa; Chordata; Actinopteri; Centrarchiformes; Centrarchidae
Exons: 3
Source: RefSeq, a predicted model, not a curated record